Molecule: ribosomal RNA, 236 nt
Filed under: uncultured bacterium
Lineage: Bacteria
Description: partial 16S ribosomal RNA
Rfam family: Bacterial small subunit ribosomal RNA
Source: RNAcentral
UGUUGCCUACGGGGGGCAGCAGUGGGGAAUAUUGCACAAUGGGCGAAAGCCUGAUGCAGCAACGCCGCGUGAAGGAAGAAGGCGUUCGGGUCGUAAACUUCUGUCCUUGGGGAAGAAGAACUGACGGUACCCAAGGAGGAAGCCCCGGCUAACUACGUGCCAGCAGCCGCGGUAAUACGUAGGGGGCAAGCGUUAUCCGGAAUUAUUGGGCGUCAAGAGUACGUAGGUUGCAGCCU